UAAUACGAAGGGGGCUAGCGUUGCUCGGAAUUACUGGGCGUAAAGGGAGCGUAGGCGGACAUUUAAGUCAGAGGUGAAAUCCCGGAGCUUAACUUCGGAACUGCCUUUGAUACUGGGUGUCUUGAGUGUGAGAGAGGUAUGUGGAACUCCGAGUGUAGAGGUGAAAUUCGUAGAUAUUCGGAAGAACACCAGUGGCGAAGGCGACAUACUGGCUCAUUACUGACGCUGAGGCUCGAAAGCGUGGGGAGCAAACAGGAUUAGAUACCCUGGUAGUCCACGCCGUAAACGAUGAUUGCUAGUUGUCGGGAAGCUUGCUUCUCGGUGACGCAGCUAACGCAUUAAGCAAUCCGCCUGGGGAGUACGGUCGCAAGAUUA
RNAcentral lists this ribosomal RNA (375 nucleotides) under uncultured bacterium. Its description in RNAcentral is "bacterial SSU rRNA". It matches the Rfam family "Bacterial small subunit ribosomal RNA", at positions 521 to 896 of the family's 1533-position model. The record is from RNAcentral.